GAUCAUGGCUCAGGAUGAACGCUAGCUACAGGCUUAACACAUGCAAGUCGAGGGGCAGCAUGGUCUUAGCUUGCUAAGGCUGAUGGCGACCGGCGCACGGGUGAGUAACACGUAUCCAACCUGCCGUCUACUCUUGGCCAGCCUUCUGAAAGGAAGAUUAAUCCAGGAUGGGAUCAUGAGUUCACAUGUCCGCAUGAUUAAAGGUUUACCGGUGUAAGAUGGGG
RNAcentral lists this ribosomal RNA (224 nucleotides) under uncultured bacterium. RNAcentral's name for it is "partial 16S ribosomal RNA". It matches the Rfam family "Bacterial small subunit ribosomal RNA", at positions 15 to 230 of the family's 1533-position model. The record is from RNAcentral.